Molecule: long non-coding RNA, 3133 nt
Organism: Heterocephalus glaber (naked mole-rat)
Lineage: Eukaryota; Metazoa; Chordata; Mammalia; Rodentia; Bathyergidae
Source: Ensembl
AAGCUAUUCAAAUAAUGAUGAGAGUGAUGAAUACUCUCAUUUUUAUCCCAGCUUUGACCCAAUCCUUCCUACAAUAUCUCUCAUAUCAAGUUCAAUCCCUGGCACUCAUACAGAGCUCCUUAUCUCCUGAGGUUGCCUCUUCAUGUUUGGAAACCUACGGCUGGCACAUUCUUACAGUGUGACUUUGACUGGCUAAGAAAGAGAAGGUGACUUCUAGAGAGAGGCCCUGGCUGAGUCCAUGCAGGACUUGCUGCAGAGCUGAUCUGCUCAGGGUACCAUCAGCCCAGCCAGGCAGUGGAAGAGAAGCCAGGGUUCCCUAGGAGGGUCAGAGUGGCAGAGGACUUGAGCCUGCAGAGAGGGCUGUGGCAGUCCCCCCACCCUGGCCGCCCCCAGGGCGGGGGGCCAGAAUGGCUUCCUGCACGUGUGCACGAGUGUGGGUGUGGACAGCUGGGUCCCUGCAGCUAGCCUGGAUUAGCUGUAGAUUCCAUACCAGUGAGGAUGUGUUUGGAGAGAUCCCUUUGUUUGUUUGCCUGACUACCUUAACCCAGGCAGAGAACUGCUCCUCAAGGGUGGAGUUGUGCAUGAGAGGGGAGACUGGCAUCUGAUUUCCUGGCUGGAUGUUCCCCAACUCGCAGACAUUCUCAGCACUCCCCAAGUUGGCACCAGAACAGCAGUGACUGGGGUUCUAGAGUGUGGGCUGGGGUCUGCAGUCAGCAUGAAGGUACCCUGGUGCUAGCCUCUGGUGCUAGCCUCUCAGCUGGAGAAGCCCACAGGCGGAAGGCUGCUUGAGACCCCUGUGGUUGAGGUGAGGGCAGCUCUCAGCAGUCUGAGCCUGCAUGUGUUCCUGGGGCCAAGAGGAGGCUUCUCAGGGGAGCUGGAUGGAGUCAUUGCCUGUUGGGCUGAGAACCAUCUGCAGGGCAAGGCAAGGCAGUGGAGCAAGGCUGGAGCUGCACCACUGGAGGGGGAGUCGAGUGGGUGGAAGAGGGCGGUCAGAGUGCAACACCCAUAACAGGAACUUUAGCCAAGAUCAGAGAACUUUGCCUUUUCUUUUCUUUUCUUUUCUUCUUUUUUCUUUUUUGGUACCUGGGAUCAAACUCGGGACCUUGUGCUUGGGAGGCAGGCGGGGAACCACUGAGCUAAAUCCCUGACCAACUUUGCCUUUUCUUAUGUGUCUGAUCCCUCUUGUCCCUUUCCCACUUGUAAAUGAGCAAGAGGGAAGCAUGGGGGGAGGGUGUGUAGGGUGGAAGUGCAGUGGGGAGGAUGAAAGGCUGGAGCCCACCUCCCAGGGCCCCUGCUUGGGCCAGAAGGGCUGGAAGGAGAGCAGCUGCUUGUGAGAGGCAGGAAGGCAGGUUUGAUUAGCCUGGCCUGGAUGCUGUAGUCGCUGGAAGAGACAGGAAGGCUGCACCAUCUGCUCCAGAUGCUGUGGGGAGCUGAGAGCUGACAGAGGGGCCCAAGGCAAUGGUGUGGGAGACGUGUACUUCUUCCUUCGUUGUGGUCCACGAGGUCUGAUCUUCAGAAUUAAGUAACUUCCAUCAACAACCUGCUAUGUGCUGGCCACUGAUUUAAAUUGAUGCAUAACCGAGGGCCCACAGUGCCCCAGGGGCACAGCCAUGAACCUGGCUGUGAGAGACAUUAUAAGCGGGCAGACUAAAUGUGAUGGGAACCAGGGAAUUCUUUCAAAAAUUAUUUACAAAUCUUCGCAAAUGGUUUUCUUGGUAUUUGCUGGAUUUUCUUAGAAUGGAUGAAGGAAGGGAAAAUGAUUUUAAGAGAAAGUUCUGGUUUCUUUACAUUAGGUUACUUGAGCUUUUCUUGAGAGUAGGAUUGAAGAUUGAUUGCAACAUGGUAGUUUCAGCUGUUUGCAAUAUAAUUUAGGGCAGGCUCACUAAAACAGUUUUUGCAUGGCUUUUAAAAUGUUCUAAAUGAAUUCUUAGGAAGCUAUGAUCUAAGUUUAAAGUUUAGUGUAUUUCUCAGAUAAAUUGAGAAAUUUAUCUACCUAGUUUACUCAAAUUUUGCCUUUUAGAUCAUUUUUACUUUUCAUAGAGGUAGAUGUAUAACUGAGGCAUGGCUUUCUCUAGGUAAAAUGGUGUAGGGCCUGUAAUGGAUUUCUUCCUCUGCUUAAUUAUUCAGGGAUAAGCCUUGUGAUCUAAAAAUGAACAACAUGAUUUUGUAUCCAUGGUAAGGUAAGGGGAUUAGUGGUCUUGUGCUUGUAAAACGGCAGCCCAGCUUCCAUUUAGUCCUUUUGAUUUCCAGAAACAAGAGCCUCAUUCUUACCACCCCUUGGAUACUGUUGCCCUUGGCUGGCCCCAUUGAUGAGAAAUGGUAGUGCAGCCAGUCCUUAGAGAAUUACCUUCAGAUCAGGGCUUCCCACACUUGAUGGGAGAGAGGAGACAUUUUUUACUUCUUCUUAGUGAUUUGCUUGAAGAAGCCACUUGUGUAUGUGUUAAUGUAUUGGUAAAAAACAUUGGUUAAAAUGUUUCAUGUGAACUGAAAUAUUUCCAUCAGACCCCUACAUAUUGAAAAUCUUGAAAAUAGUAAGUUUUAUUUAUUCAUGCUAAUGGCAUUUUAAUUUACUUAUUCUAUCAAAACAUAGUAUUGUUUUUUGUGCUUGAGAUUGAACCCAGAGUCUCCUGCACACUAAGCACGUGAGCUACAUCGUCAGCCCCCAAACACACUUUUAAAUGUUGGACAUGUUUAGCUCAAUAAGUACUUGAUGGCUGAUUAGUUUUCCAUCAGUUAAAAUCUUGGAGGAGGGCCGGGGAUUUAGCUCAGUGGUUCUGCCGCCUGCCUUGAAAGCGGAAGGUCCUGGGUUCGAUCCCCAGUACCAAAAAAAAAAAAAACUUGCAGGACAUGCAAUCUAGUCAUAUUUGGAAGAAAGACCAUGGAGAAGUUACACUUGUACACAAUCUAUAAAUGGAAGGAUCCGAUAUCCUUUGAUUCCUUAAUAAGUUAACUACUGAACUUUCCAAAAUUAUCCUUCCUGUCAUUCCCUUUUUUAGUGCCACUCCUCUCCAUUGUCUCUUUCUUUUGGUUACCCCACCCACAGCACACUGGGAAUUCCUAUUUCACUGCAGUUUUCGUGUUAUAAUGCAUGUCAGAGUACUGUAUUUGUGUCUGAGUAAGUGAAGUUUCAGCA